This 271-nucleotide ribosomal RNA is filed under the name uncultured prokaryote. RNAcentral's name for it is "partial 16S ribosomal RNA". It matches the Rfam family "Bacterial small subunit ribosomal RNA", at positions 524 to 794 of the family's 1533-position model. The record is from RNAcentral.
UACGGAGGAUGCAAGCGUUAUCCGGAUUCAUUGGGUUUAAAGGGUGCGCAGGCGGGAAAGUAAGUCAGUGGUGAAAGCCCGGGGCUCAACCGCGGGACUGCAUUGGAAACUGUAGAUCUGGAGUGCCGGAGGGGCAAGCGGAAUUCCUGGUGUAGCGGUGAAAUGCGUAGAUAUCAGGAGGAACACCGGCGGCGAAGGCGGCUUUCUGGACUGUAACUGACGCUGAGGCACGAAAGCGUGGGGAGCAAACAGGAUUAGAUACCCGCGUAGU